GACGUAGGGCGCGAGCGUUGUCCGGAUUGACUGGGCGUAAAGCGCACGCAGGCGGAUGCGCGCGUGGGGUGUGAAAUCUGGCCGCUUAACGGCCAGGCGCCAUCCCAUACGGCGCGUCUGGAGUGAUGCAGAGGUCGGUGGAAUUGCCGGUGUAGUGGUGAAAUGCGUAGAGAUCGGCAGGAACACCCAGGGGGAAACCAGCCGACUGGGCAUCUACUGACGCUGAGGUGCGAGAGCGUGGGGAGCGAACCGG
RNAcentral lists this ribosomal RNA (253 nucleotides) under uncultured bacterium. RNAcentral's name for it is "partial 16S ribosomal RNA". It matches the Rfam family "Bacterial small subunit ribosomal RNA", at positions 524 to 776 of the family's 1533-position model. The record is from RNAcentral.